GAGUUUGAUCGUGGCUCAGGACGAACGCUGGCGGCGUGCUUAACACAUGCAAGUCGAGCGAGAAUCUACUGAAAGAGUUUUCGGACAAUGGAAGUAGAGGAAAGUGGCGGACGGGUGAGUAACGCGUGAGGAACCUGCCUUGAAGAGGGGGACAACAGUUGGAAACGACUGCUAAUACCGCAUGAUGCAUAAGGGUCGCAUGAUUCUUAUGCCAAAGAUUUAUCGCUUCAAGAUGGCCUCGCGUCUGAUUAGCUAGUUGGCGGGGUAACGGCCCACCAAGGCGACGAUCAGUAGCCGGACUGAGAGGUUGAACGGCCACAUUGGGACUGAGAUACGGCCCAGACUCCUACGGGAGGCAGCAGUGGGGAAUAUUGGGCAAUGGGCGCAAGCCUGACCCAGCAACGCCGCGUGAAGGAAGAAGGCUUUCGGUAUGUAAACUUCUAUCAGCAGGGAAGAAAAUGACGGUACCUGACUAAGAAGCCCCGGCUAACUACGUGCCAGCCGCCGCGAUAAC
RNAcentral lists this ribosomal RNA (514 nucleotides) under uncultured microorganism. Its description in RNAcentral is "bacterial SSU rRNA". It matches the Rfam family "Bacterial small subunit ribosomal RNA", at positions 9 to 524 of the family's 1533-position model. The record is from RNAcentral.